GGGGAAGGGCCAUAUCUCAGUGGUAGAGCAUCAGCUUUGCAUGCAGGAAGUUCCAGGUUCAAUCCCUGGCUUCUCCU
This is a non-coding RNA of Podarcis lilfordi (Lilford's wall lizard), 77 nucleotides long. The record is from the annotation of a GenBank genome assembly. NCBI's taxonomy places the organism in Eukaryota, Metazoa, Chordata, Lepidosauria, Squamata, Lacertidae.